RNAcentral lists this ribosomal RNA (497 nucleotides) under uncultured bacterium. RNAcentral's name for it is "partial 16S ribosomal RNA". It matches the Rfam family "Bacterial small subunit ribosomal RNA", at positions 28 to 507 of the family's 1533-position model. The record is from RNAcentral.
GAUGAACGCUGGCGGCGUGCCUAAUACAUGCAAGUCGAGCGAACGGACGAGAAGCUUGCUUCUCUGAUGUUAGCGGCGGACGGGUGAGUAACACGUGGAUAACCUACCUAUAAGACUGGGAUAACUUCGGGAAACCGGAGCUAAUACCGGAUAAUAUUUUGAACCGCAUGGUUCAAAAGUGAAAGACGGUCUUGCUGUCACUUAUAGAUGGAUCCGCGCUGCAUUAGCUAGUUGGUAAGGUAACGGCUUACCAAGGCAACGAUGCAUAGCCGACCUGAGCGGGUGAUCGGCCACACUGGAACUGAGACACGGUCCAGACUCCUACGGGAGGCAGCAGUAGGGAAUCGUCCGCAAUGGUCGAAAGCCUGACGGAGCAACGCCGCGUGAGUGAUGAAGGUCUUCGGAUCGUAAAACUCUGUUAUUAGGGAAGAACAUAUGUGUAAGUAACUGUGCACAUCUUGACGGUACCUAAUCAGAAAGCCACGGCUAACUACGUG